UCUGAAACUUUACUGUAAAUUUAAAAUAGAACAUUAGCAAAUAAAUGACAGACCACAUAUUAUUAUAGUAAACCAGAGUAAAAUUUUACUAUCAUUUAAACAGAGUAUCAGCAAAUAAAACAACUUUGACAUAUUAUCAAAGCAAUCUAAGUAAAAUUAAUCUAAUAGUGAUUGAACAAAUUAUUAAGAAUCAAAUAGUGAUUGAACGAAUCUCUAACUCUAACUCAAACAAUGAUUGAAAUGUAUAUCUAUGAGAACUUGAACCCAAGCCUUGAGUCGGCAUGCUAUACCAGAACCUCAAGCCCCUUACACUCAUCAAUCAUCAACAGGAAGUCAAUCUCCUACCCAUUAGUGUCUUCGUGAAGAAGCAAACUAAUGAAAAAACAAUGUUUUAAAUGAAACAUAUUUAAACCUGUUUAGUACCUUAAAAUCGAUCACGAAAUGCAAGAAUUUCAAAUGAAUUGCUGUUAAACGAAAAAAACAAAAAUCGAUCUUCGUCAUCUCGAAGAUUUCUCUAUUACUUCUCACAAAUCAUUUCCAGUUAUCGAAUCAUUGUCUAGAGUUUCAUAUGAGCUGUAGCAUAUAAAAAUAUAUGUGUACUAGAAGGAGGGUAAAAUAGCCCAUAAAAUUGUAGUCUUAUUAGAAUAUGGACUUUAUGCAUUAAAGACAUUGACCAGAGGGACUUUAUGCAUUAAAGAUUUAAAACUUGGACUUUUAGAAGGAAGCUGUUAGUGUGAAGGGCUUAUGGCCAAUUUUCUUCUUUUUUUUUUUCCCCUUCUUUUCUUCUUGGGUCAUAAAUUUAUGUUUGGACUUUCUAAAUGAUAAUCAUAAAUUUAAUUUCAAGACUAUAAAAUUGAAGUCAGUUGGGGAAGAGAAGAGUUUAAAUUUGGACAAUUGUUGUGCUCCCAUUUUAAUACUCUUUAUGCUACUAGGCUGAUUUUAAUUUUAUCAUUUUAAUGUGAUUGUUAAAAUACAUCAUUCAACAGUCAUAAUUAUAUAAUCAAACAUUUUCAGGUUGAAGUACAACAGUUAUGGACAAUAUCACUAUUUUCGGUCAAGGGAGUUUUUUUCCUCCCUUCAUAUAAAUUUAAGUACCUCUUUUAUAAUGUAAGACCUAUUUAUUUAAAAUAAAGCUUAUUUAUCUAUUUAUUUUAAACGUAUCAUAUCUAAUUUUCUUCUAAUAAAUGUUUUUUUCCUCAUACUUUAUAGGUGGAUGAAGACUUACACAGAGCGGUAAUAUCAAGAAAGAAAUGAUUUUUUUAACUUAUUUAUCUGUACAAAGUUUUAUUUAUCACUCUAAAGUUUUUGUAUAUAUAGAUUCAAUUUCUUCAAGAAAGAAAUGUUAAUGUUGUUGUUCGUGAUGAGUGUGACCUUAAUACUAUUCACAUUCAUGAGGCAAAGGCAAAAGAAAAACACAAAGCAAUAUCAAAGAAGACAGAAAAAGCUAUCCCUUCUAGCAAAGGAAAUGAACAUGCAAAUCUCGUGGCACAAAAUGAUAAUGUAAUAUCAAAAGCUGCAUUGGCCCAACGUGCACGACGAGAGCUUGAAAAAAAUGAAAAGUCACACUUUGAAUUUCAAUGCUUGCAACGAGAACAAGAAGGAUCAGAAGAAUGUAUUCAACUAAUACAACCUUCUUUAACACCAAUUCGUCGCAAUCGCGCUUGUCUAGAAUGGGAAACAAUAACUGAAGAUUCUUAUUCGACACCAAAACGAACAUUGGUUGUCCAUUAUUCUACAUGUUCGUUUUUUAUGCCAAGCACAUCUUUAGCUCCACAAAGGAAUCGGUAAACUACUCUGUCUAAUCUUGAAAUAUAUACUCUUAUUCAUACCAUUUUGUUUUAUAGAGUUUUAUUUAUACACAAAUAUUCGUAGGUCUACUCGUAUAAAUCAAUUUCUUCAAGAAGAUCUAUGUACUAAUGAUGAAUUAGAAGAUAUGCCUAUGAAUACAUUAAUUGAUGCCCAAGCACACAAAGAUUCUUACCGCCAUUAUCUUGGCAAGAUGUAUGUAUUAUGUCCUUAUUGUUCAGCCUUACAUUGGAUGGAUGGAAAAUUGACCAAAUCAUCUAUAAAACGUUCCUUAUUCGGAACUUGCUAUUUGGAAGGAAAGAUUAGGCUACCUUUACUUAUUACACCCCCUCCAUUACUUCUGGUGUUGUAUGAUGGGAAUAAUGAUAAAUCAAAAUCCUUUCGAAGUUAUACUCGAUUUUACAAUGCAGCCAAUGCUUUUAUGAGUCUUGGUGCUACAUUGGAUUCUAGAGUACUCAGUGGAAGGGGCCCUACAUCAUUCACAAUUCAUGGGGAAUUACGACAUCGAACAGGAUCACUACAACCACAACCAGGGCAGGAUAUGAGUUAUAGUGAACUGUAUAUCUAUGACCCUAAUUCAAUGUUAAAAAUUCGUAAUCAUAGAAAUCCUAAUUUGAAAAGGGAUGUUCUCAAAACUAUUCAUGAUAGUUUGUUGCAAGUCAAUGCAUUUGUAGCUACAU
Molecule: non-coding RNA, 2486 nt
Organism: Camellia sinensis
Lineage: Eukaryota; Viridiplantae; Streptophyta; Magnoliopsida; Ericales; Theaceae
Source: RefSeq, a predicted model, not a curated record